This 348-nucleotide unclassified non-coding RNA is filed under the name uncultured Agaricomycetes. Its description in RNAcentral is "sequence contains ITS1". The stretch from base 1 to 105 matches the Rfam family "5.8S ribosomal RNA", at positions 50 to 154 of the family's 154-position model. The record is from RNAcentral. Lineage: Eukaryota; Fungi; Basidiomycota; Agaricomycetes.
GAAAUGCGAUAAGUAAUGUGAAUUGCAGAUUUCAGUGAAUCAUCGAAUCUUUGAACGCACCUUGCGCUCCUUGGUAUUCCGAGGAGCAUGCCUGUUUGAGUGUCAUUAAAUUCUCAAUCUUCUUUGGAUUUUUUCAUUGGAGACUUGGAUGUGAGGGUUUGCCGGUUGUUCAAAUCGGCUCCCUUUAAAUGUGUUAGCGUUGCCUCAGCCGAUCGAACGCCCCUCGGUAUGAUAAUUAUCUAUGCCGUGUCGGGAAUCGCACGAGAGUAUGCUUCUAACAGUCCCUCUUGGGGGACAUAUUCAUCAUAUCUUGACCUCAAAUCAGGUAGGACUACCCGCUGAACUUAA